GAUGAACGCUAGCUACAGGCUUAACACAUGCAAGUCGAGGGGCAGCAUGACCUAGCAAUAGGUUGAUGGCGACCGGCGCACGGGUGAGUAACACGUAUCCAACCUGCCGAUUAUUCCGGGAUAGCCUUUCGAAAGAAAGAUUAAUACUGGAUAGCAUAACGAGAAGGCAUCUUCUUGUUAUUAAAGAAUUUCGAUAAUCGAUGGGGAUGCGUUCCAUUAGUUUGUUGGCGGGGUAACGGCCCACCAAGACAUCGAUGGAUAGGGGUUCUGAGAGGAAGGUCCCCCACAUUGGAACUGAGACACGGUCCAAACUCCUACGGGAGGCAGCAGUGAGGAAUAUUGGUCAAUGGACGAGAGUCUGAACCAGCCAAGUAGCGUGAAGGAUGACUGCCCUAUGGGUUGUAAACUUCUUUUAUAUGGGAAUAAAGUGGGCCACGUGUGGCUUUUUGUAUGUACCAUACGAAUAAGGAUCGGCUAACUCCGUG
This 485-nucleotide ribosomal RNA is filed under the name uncultured bacterium. RNAcentral's name for it is "partial 16S ribosomal RNA". It matches the Rfam family "Bacterial small subunit ribosomal RNA", at positions 28 to 507 of the family's 1533-position model. The record is from RNAcentral.